AUACGUAGGUGACAAGCGUUAUCCGGAUUUACUGGGCGUAAAGGGCGUGUAGGCGGUCUUGCAAGUCAGAAGUGAAAUUCCUGAGCUCAACUCGGGCGCUGCUUCUGAAACUGCAGGACUUGAGUGCUGGAGGGGAUAGCGGAAUUCCUAGUGGAGCGGUAAAAUGCGCAGAUAUUAGGAAGAACACCGGUGGCGAAGGCGGCUAUCUGGACAGUAACUGACGCUGAGACGCGAAAGCGUGGGGAGCAAACAGGAUUAGAUACCCCGGUAGUCCUGGCAGUAAACGAUGUAUGCUGGGUGUGAGACUAGCGAUAGUUUCGUGCCGAAGUUAACGCGAUAAGCAUACCGCCUGGGGAGUACGGUCGCAAGAUUGAAGCUCAAAUGAAUUGACGGGG
RNAcentral lists this ribosomal RNA (395 nucleotides) under uncultured bacterium. RNAcentral describes it as "partial 16S ribosomal RNA". It matches the Rfam family "Bacterial small subunit ribosomal RNA", at positions 523 to 918 of the family's 1533-position model. The record is from RNAcentral.